CCUACGGGAGGCAGCAGUGAGGAAUAUUGGUCAAUGGGCGAGAGCCUGAUCCAGCGAAGUAGCGUGAGGGAUGAAUGCCCUACGGGUUGUAAACUUCUUUUAUGCAGGAACAAAGUAAGGCACGUGUACCUUUUUGUAUGUACUUUAUGAAUACGGAUCGGCUAACUCCGUUCCAGCAGCCGCGGUAAUACGGAGUAUCCGAGCGUUAUCCGGAUUUAUUGGGUUGAAAGGGUGCGUAGGUGGGUUGGUAAGGCAGUUGUGAAAGUUUGGGGCGCAACCGUAAAAUUGCAAUUGAUACUGGGAGCCUAGAGUACAGUUGAGGGAGGCGGAAUUCGUGGUGUAGCGGUGAAAUGCGUAGAUAGCACGAAGAACACCGGUGGCGAAGGCGGGCUACUGGACUGUAACUGACGUUGAGGCACGAAAGCGUGGGGAGCGAACAGGAUUAGAUACCCGAGUAGUC
Molecule: ribosomal RNA, 460 nt
Filed under: uncultured bacterium
Lineage: Bacteria
Description: partial 16S ribosomal RNA
Rfam family: Bacterial small subunit ribosomal RNA
Source: RNAcentral